UGGACUCUCAAUAUCCUUUAAA
Molecule: transfer RNA, 22 nt
Filed under: Pristimantis caryophyllaceus
Lineage: Eukaryota; Metazoa; Chordata; Amphibia; Anura; Strabomantidae
Description: partial tRNA-Phe
Source: RNAcentral